Molecule: ribosomal RNA, 527 nt
Filed under: uncultured bacterium
Lineage: Bacteria
Description: partial 16S ribosomal RNA
Rfam family: Bacterial small subunit ribosomal RNA
Source: RNAcentral
UGGGGAAUAUUGCACAAUGGGCGCAAGCCUGAUGCAGCCAUGCCGCGUGUGUGAAGAAGGCCUUCGGGUUGUAAAGCACUUUCAGCGAGGAGGAAGGUGGUGAGCUUAAUACGCUCAUCAAUUGACGUUACUCGCAGAAGAAGCACCGGCUAACUCCGUGCCAGCAGCCGCGGUAAUACGGAGGGUGCAAGCGUUAAUCGGAAUUACUGGGCGUAAAGCGCACGCAGGCGGUUUGUUAAGUCAGAUGUGAAAUCCCCGGGCUCAACCUGGGAACUGCAUUUGAAACUGGCAAGCUAGAGUCUCGUAGAGGGGGGUAGAAUUCCAGGUGUAGCGGUGAAAUGCGUAGAGAUCUGGAGGAAUACCGGUGGCGAAGGCGGCCCCCUGGACGAAGACUGACGCUCAGGUGCGAAAGCGUGGGGCAGCAAACAGGAUUAGAUACCCUGGUAGUCCACGCUGUAAAACGAUGUCGAUUUUGGAGGUUGUGCCCUUGAGGCGUGGNUUCCGGAGCUAACGNGUUAAAUCGACCG